RNAcentral lists this non-coding RNA (30 nucleotides) under Rattus norvegicus (Norway rat). Lineage: Eukaryota; Metazoa; Chordata; Mammalia; Rodentia; Muridae. The record is from RNAcentral.
UAUACAAGAAGUCAAACAAUGUGUAAGUGC